RNAcentral lists this long non-coding RNA (1372 nucleotides) under Carassius auratus (goldfish). RNAcentral describes it as "lncRNA (ENSCARG00000041686.1)". Lineage: Eukaryota; Metazoa; Chordata; Actinopteri; Cypriniformes; Cyprinidae. The record is from RNAcentral.
AGAUUUUAUGUUAAACGGCUCGUUCAGUGAAUCGCAGGGCGUCUCAGUGAUCAGCCGUGAAACAGUGAUUCUGUUCAAAUUCCCUUUAAAUUAUUAAAUGAUUCCCUUUGAGCUAAAUUGACCUGUUUCCGUUUCAGACAUAUGUGUAUUUGUUAUUACUUUUGGCAUUCAAUUACAUAUAUAAUGCUUUAGUCCAUCACUUUUUAAAUCUAAACAUUACAAGUUUUUAUGCUGUUUGUGUAAAAUCUUGUUGUGACUCGUUUAUGCAAUUAGUAUUUGAAAUCACUUUGUAAAUGUUUUACCACAGGACAUGUGGGUGGGAGUCCUGCACCAUGUCACAGGAGAACACAUGUGGGCUCUUGGUGAGUGUAAACAUAGCCCCUUGCUGGACGACAGAGAUAAAGAAUUGAUUGAGAGUGGUUCAGUGGCACAUGAGAGGCUGGCUGAAAUUAUUCUCAAUGAACGCUGGCUGAAGGUCGUCCCCAAGUAUCUGAAUUUCAGGUACAUAAGCAACUUUAUUUAGCUCUAUAUUGUAAAUGGUCAAAUCAACUAUGUGAAAGACAUUUUACUGUAAUUGACGUCGAUAUUACAUAAACAAGAUUAUUAUAAAAAAAAUACAUAUUAUGUAUUUUUAUCUAAUGUGCACAGAUUUGGAGUCGUUUCACAACCACAUACUGAUGUAUGCCAGCAAGCGCUUCAGCUUUUACCCCACCAGUUUAUGCUGCUCGUACCAUGCUGACUGGCCUCGAUUACAACCAUCAUCUCCAUAGACUUGCCAGGAGAAAAGCUGAUGGCACAAUUCAGUAAGUUUUGAAUUUUUUUUAUAAAAUAAAUGUUACAUUGUAAACUUUUCACUAAGCUGAUACACUUCUCUAUAUUGUCAGGUAUGGCAAGGUGUACAACAUAAGGUCCAGGAAGUGGAGGUUAUACUCAUUGAAGGUGGAGAAGGACUACAGCUACAUCUCUGACCUACAGUGUGCCAUCCUCCUUCGACGGAUAUCAGCUAAUAAGGGGAUUCCUAGAAGCAGAACCAGGAGACCUGAUGAUCCCCGUCAACAUGGCGUACUGUCUGGUGCACCUGCUCCAUCAACACAGGAGCUAUUGCAAAUUCAAGUCAGCAGAGGGUCAAUCGCUGCCGAAACAAUGAAUAAUCUCCACAGGACCAUAGCUGAUGUGAUGCUACGUCCCAAGUCUGACCCAUCUACCAGUCAAGAUACCUCUGGAAACCCAAUGUCUUAUGUGUUAUUGUUGAUUGUGCUAAUGUUUUUUAUAUUUGUGAUUAUAGUUUCUAGCUUUAGUAAUACAGCAAUAAAAAAGUGACAUUCUACAUUUGGUUGUUGUUAUUGCCGAAAUAAUACAUAAAUUUAGUUUU